AUGCUGUUAUCUCCUUUUUUCCGGGUUUUACAGAAAAUGUGCAGAGGCCAGAGGGAUCUAUCUAUGUCUGGAUCCUAUCUCAGCUGCAGUAGCUCCUUUUCCCGGCGAGGUGGCCGGCGGCGAGCUGAGAGGCGGUCAGAUGGGGAGACCGGCGGCGCGGUCUCAGAAGAUGUCGAGGACGUCGAGGAUGGCGGCGUUGCAGAGCGGGCAGCGGCCGCGGCCGGCGAGGAGCUCGCGGGCGCAGGCGCGGCAGAAGGUGUGGCCGCACGGGAUGAAGGCCGCGCCCUUGGCCCGCGCCAUGCACACGCAGCAGCAGCCGGCGCCUCGCCCCGGCUCCGGCAGCUCCGCGUCGUCCUCCGGCACCAGCGCGUCCUGCGACGACGGCUCCGACGCGGCGACCGCCGGGUCCUGCUCCUGCUCCUGCUGUGCCGUCGCGCCGGCGCUCCACUGCCUCUCCGUCUGCUCCAGCAGCGCCAUGAGGGACACCCGCUCCCCCUGCUCCUCCUCUUCCUCCGCCGCCUGAUCCGUCGGCGGCUGAGGCGGCGACGCCUCCGGAGGUGUCACCGGCGCGGCCACGGGUCUAGUCAACGCGGGGCCCGGGGCCGGCAGGGACACCGCGCGGCGGACGAACGGGUCGCCGACGCCCGUUGCGGAGACCACGGCGUGCGAGGCGGGGGGAGCCGGCUGGUCGUCGCGGAUGAUGUCGAGCAGCGUCCGCGCGGCGGCGGCAGCGACGGCGGCGCUGGAGGAGGGCGGCGAGGAGGAGGCCCGGCGGUCGGCCUGCAUGGCGGAGGCGAGGGUGACCGCGGCGGCGCGGCGGCCGUCGUCCUCGUCGCGCAGCUUGAGGAGGUCGCGGAGGUUGCAGGAGCCCGGCUGCCCCGGCGGCGCGGCGGCGGGCGGGCCCACGGCGGCCAGCUGGUCCGCCAGCGUCACGCUGCGCCGCAGCACCCUCCCCUCCAUCUCGGCCGGUGUCUGGUCUGGGCAAAGGCAGUCGCCCGAGGUGGAAGAAGAGGACAAGGCGGGGAAAGGAAAGGGAAGGGAAGGGAAGCGCCUAUUAUUCUUCGGUCUAGCCAGCAGCGGCAGGGCGUCAGGGGUUAA
Molecule: ribosomal RNA, 1098 nt
Filed under: Triticum aestivum (bread wheat)
Lineage: Eukaryota; Viridiplantae; Streptophyta; Magnoliopsida; Poales; Poaceae
Description: partial small subunit ribosomal RNA
Source: RNAcentral